UACGUAGGGUGCGAGCGUUGUCCGGAAUUAUUGGGCGUAAAGGGCUCGUAGGCGGUUUGUCGCGUCGGGAGUGAAAUCCACUGGCUUAACUGGUGGCUUGCUUCCGAUACGGGCAGACUAGAGGUAUGCAGGGGAGAACGGAAUUCCUGGUGUAGCGGUGAAAUGCGCAGAUAUCAGGAGGAACACCGAUGGCGAAGGCAGGUCUCUGGGCCGAUACUGACGCUGAGGAGCGAAAGCGUGGGGAGCGAACAGG
RNAcentral lists this ribosomal RNA (253 nucleotides) under uncultured bacterium. RNAcentral describes it as "partial 16S ribosomal RNA". It matches the Rfam family "Bacterial small subunit ribosomal RNA", at positions 524 to 776 of the family's 1533-position model. The record is from RNAcentral.